CCUACGGGGGGCUGCAGUGGGGAAUAUUGCGCAAUGGGCGAAAGCCUGACGCAGCGACGCCGCGUGAGGGAUGAAGGUCUUCGGAUCGUUAACCUCUGUCUGUAGGGAAGAAAGGUCACUGUGCUAAUCAGCAGUGAAUUGACGGUACCUGCAAAGGAAGCACCGGUUAACUCCGUGCCAGCAGCCGCGGUAAUACGGAGGGUGCGAGCGUUAAUCGGAAUUACUGGGCGUAAAGCGCUCGUAGGCGGUAUGUCAAGUCAAGGGUGAAAUCCCCGCGCUCAACGUGGGAACUGCCUUUGAAACUGGCAAGCUGGAGUGUGUGAGAGGAUAGUGGAAUUCCAGGUGUAGGAGUGAAAUCCGUAGAUAUCUGGAGGAACAUCAGUGGCGAAGGCGACUAUCUGGCACAUAACUGACGCUGAGGAGCGAAAGCGUGGGUAGCAAACAGGAUUAGAUACCCUGGUAGUC
This 465-nucleotide ribosomal RNA is filed under the name uncultured bacterium. Its description in RNAcentral is "partial 16S ribosomal RNA". It matches the Rfam family "Bacterial small subunit ribosomal RNA", at positions 338 to 795 of the family's 1533-position model. The record is from RNAcentral.